GACGAACGCUGGCGGCGUGCUUAACACAUGCAAGUCGAGCGGUAAGGCCCUUUCGGGGGUACGACGAGCGGCGAACGGGUGAGUAACACGUGGGUGACCUGCCCUCCAGCUCUGGGAUAAGCCUGGGAAACCGGGUCUAAUACUGGAUAUGACUCCAUGACGCAUGUUGUGGGGUGGAAAGCCUUGUGCGGCUGAGGAUGGGCCCGCGGCCUAUCAGCUUGUUGGUGGGGUGANGGCCUACCAAGGCGACGACGGGUAGCCGGCCUGAGAGGGCGACCGGCCACACUGGGACUGAGACACGGCCCAGACUCCUACGGGAGGCAGCAGUGGGGAAUCUUGCGCAAUGGGCGAAAGCCUGACGCAGCGACGCCGCGUGAGGGAUGACGGCCUGG
This 392-nucleotide ribosomal RNA is filed under the name uncultured bacterium. Its description in RNAcentral is "bacterial SSU rRNA". It matches the Rfam family "Bacterial small subunit ribosomal RNA", at positions 28 to 419 of the family's 1533-position model. The record is from RNAcentral.